Molecule: long non-coding RNA, 5153 nt
Filed under: Brassica rapa (field mustard)
Lineage: Eukaryota; Viridiplantae; Streptophyta; Magnoliopsida; Brassicales; Brassicaceae
Description: long non-coding RNA (BRAP_LNC006531)
Source: RNAcentral
CCAUAAGUCUCCUGCAAAGCCAGAUGUACUUCCAAGCGGGCACAAAGUUGAAGCGAAUUCUAAAAUCGUGAUAUGUAUUUAUGCAUUGGGAAGAAUGAGAUCUAUAUGGGGUGAAGACGCAUUGGAUUUUAAACCAGAGAGAUGGAUUUCAAAAGGUGGAGAGCUAAAACAUGAACCUUCAUACAAGUUCAUGGCUUUUAAUGCUGGUCCGAGGGCUUGCUUGGGUAAACAUUUGGCUCUCCUGCAGAUGAAGAUAGUAGCUGUGGAGAUCAUACAAAACUAUGACUUUAAGGUCACUGAAGGUCACAAGAUUGAAGCAGUCCCUUCUAUCGUUCUCCGUAUGAAACAUGGUCUUAAUGUCACUGUCACUAAACAGAUAUGAUUCUUCUUGAUAAUUGGGUUACUGGUAUUAAUAAGUGUUUGUUAGGCGCAAAUAUCAUUUAAAGUAUAUUGUAUAAUUGUUGUGCUAUUGCCCUAUUUGUAUGAUUUAUAUGUGUGUCGCUAUUUGUAUUAUUUUAAAGUGUGUCGCUAUUCAUUCUAUUAAAUGUUUGUUCCCCGUAAAUAUUAUUUAAGAAAAAUAAAAAUUUCAGUUUCAAAAAAAAAAAAAACCUAUUGUAACUUUUUAUGAUUGAAUAUUGCCAAAUAAGUUGAGUACAUAUUUUAAAUCCGUUUCACUCCAUUUUGCUAUACUUUUAGGCUGAAACUCGUGACCAUUUAAAGAAAAUGAAAAUAAAAAAAUCAAGAUGAACAAAACUUAUAGGAAUGAGAAAUAUGUUGUGAAUAAAAGAAGAGAAAAAAAAUUGUAUUUUGUAUUUGAUGAUAUAUAUAUUAUUAUUUGAUAAAUGAAUUUACUUACUUAUCAUCUUCAUGAUUUUAGGAAAAGUUAUUAGUUUAAUUAAUAUUUUUAUUUUAAUAUAAUAUUUAAGAUAAUUAAUAAACAUUAACCUAUUCAACCGAUAUAUAUAUACUAUUAUUUUUUAAAAACUAUUUUAAUAUAUAUAUAUAAUUAUAUGACAUUUAUUACAGUUAGUUAAUAAAUACAUAUUAACAAUAAUAUCAUAAUUACAUAUAUCUUAUAUUUAGAGUAUCUCCAAUGUAUUACUCAUUUUUUUACUCCAAAAUGGUGUAACUCCAAAAUGGAAUUGGGUUUUACUCCAAUGUAUACUCCAUUUUUUACUCAAAAAAAAUAUUCACAAAUGAUUCCUUUUUUAUUUAGUUAAUAAUUGUUAGUAGUACCUUCAACUUAUAAAAAUUUAACAAUUAACCCAACUAUUUUAUAUUUACAAAACUUUCAUAAAAAUAUAUUUUAUUUAAGUUAAAUAUUUAUUAAUGAAAAUACAGUUAGAGCUUUUCUUCCAACUUCAAUUGGUGUAAUUUUCAUCAUAUGCAAUUUUUCUAAUUCAAAAACAAAUUAUGCAUUAGAAGAACAUAAAGAAGAUAACAAUUUUUUUGUAAUUUAAAUUAUGUACUUGAUCCAAAUGUUUGUACAUAUAUUAAGUUUAACAAGUAUAAAUGUUAUCAAUCGAAAUAUUGACCCACAAGAUAUAUAAACUCAUCUAUUCCGUUUGAACGAAACUUCAACGAUUCCAACAACAGUUUACAGAAUUAUUAAAUCACUUAUUUGUAUUAUAUUAUAUUACAUUAUAUUAUAGAUUAUUUAUGUUUAGUUUUGAUUUUUAUUAGUGUAUGCAUAUUUUAUGUAAAACUAUUAAAUAAUAUUUUAUGGAGUAUUAUAUUUAUUUUCAUGUUAUUGUAUUAUUUUAAAUAAUAUUUAAGUGUGAAAAAAAUAUUCAAAAUUAAAAGGAUUAUUUCAAAAAUAAAAAAAAUUCAACUCAAAAAUAGAGUAAUAGGCAAGAUUACUCCAUAAAUGGAGUAACCCUAGCCAUUACUUUAUUUUAGAGUUGAAUAUAGAGUAGGAUUGGUGAAGAUUUUACUCAAAAAUGAAGUUUGAAGUCAAAAAUAGAGUAGGGUUGGAGAUGCCUUUAGUUUAUGGUUUUACUUACUAACACUAUAGCCAGUUUUUUAUUCUUGUUGAAAAUAUUGAUCCAAGUAACUAUUACAAUAUUAUAAUAUUAAUUUAACAUUUUUAUUUAAUUUAACAAUUUAAAUAUUUAUAAAAAUAAACUUUAGAAUUUUAAAUAAUUAGGUAUAUAUAUAUAUUAGUCAGUACAAGGUCUGAACCAUCACUAGUUAAUUAAUAUAUAUAGGGAUACAAUAUCUUAGAGAAUAAACAAAUCUUUAGAUACAAGUUUAUUUAGAAUAUUAAUCUAUAAGAUAAUCUCUAUAUAAUAAACAUCCAUAUCUAAAAAACGUUUUUUGACAUCAACAUAAACAUUCAUAUCUAAUAUUUAUAAUACAACUUUUAUGUGUCUAUUAUACAAAUAUUUUCUAAAUCGCGUAAGUUGUUGUCUUGUCAAAAAUCUUAAGAGAAAAAUAGAUCUUGAUCCGUACAUUCGUGCGAGUGUUAUUCUUUCUAUAAUAAAAUAUUCUAAAUUAUAUAACAUAAAUUUUUUAUUUGUAAAUAUUAUUAUGUAGCAAUACUAUUUUACAUAACUUUAUGUUUUGUUUCUAAAAUUUGAAAUAUAUAUGGAGAUUAAAUUAAACUGAACCUAUAUAAAUAGAGUUGAAUAUUUUUUGGGAUACUAUUGAAAAAAACAAAACUUAUUUUUUUAAAAACUAUAAUAUUUUGUACUUGCAAAAUAAUUUUGUAGUCAAGAUCAUAUUUGAGAAAUUGCUUGAAGUACACCAAGUUGGAUAUCAUUUUUUCUUAACUCAAUUAAAGAUAUCCUGAUAUUUAGGUUUAAAAUGCAAUAUCCGUAAAAAAAAAAAGCAAAUCACAAAUAUCAAUAUUUAUAGGAACGGAUAUCCAAUAUAAUCUGUUAUAUGCAUAUAUAUAUAAUUAAAGAAUUAUGUAUAAGUUAUAUAUAAAUUUUACAAUAUUUUUGUUUUUAAAUAAUUUCAUUUUAAGAAUUUUAUUUUUCAUGUAUUAUUUUGAAAAAAAAUGUCAUUUAAUAUUAAUUAACAGUAUUUUUAUAUAUUUAUCAACCACCUUUAUAUACUUUCACAUACCCAUACAUGUGAACAUUGACGUGAGCACUUUAUAACUAAGUAUUUACCACAACUAAAAUAUCUAAUUUUUUUGAAAGUUAAAAUAUUCUUUUUCUUAAUGCUUCUUUCACUAUCGACCAAAUUGUAGUAAAAUGAUUUGUCUUAAUAAUUUUUUUUUCUUUUUUUUUAACUAUUAUCCGUUUAGAAACUAUAAUAUGAAACUAUUGGUUCGUCAUCACGACUAUCUAAGAUUCAUAACUUGAAAACAAACAAAUAAUAGUAAUUUUUGAUUAUCACAAGAAAAAAAAAACUAAAAACAUCAAACAUUUUAACCGAACAACCCAAAUAAAUAUUGAUUUAAAAUGAUAGUUAUAUUUUUGGAGAUUAAAAACAAAAAAGAAACAAUCUAAAACCAAACUGAUAUCGAGAUUAAACAGAUUAAUGUCUCCUUAUUAAAAAAAUAACGAAACUAAUAAUCACAUUCCGCGGAUUAUUAUUUAGUAUAAUUGAAAUAAAGAUCAACCAUGUCUGACAAAAAAAUAAAAUAAUAGAUCAACCAUGUAAUUGGGUCUAGUCAUCUAAAUCACGUGGCACUCAGUUUAAGACAAAAGAAUAAAUGAUUUUUGGGGAUUUGGUCCGAUCCGGUCAGUUGAGCUAGGUCAGCCAGGAACAUUUUCCAAGAAACUUCUGCAUUUAAUUGAACUUAAGUUAUAUAGCAAACCAACUUAACUAAAUGGCGAUGAUAGGUUUACCUAUGGUACCUACACUUCAAAAUUCUGUAGUCUAAAAAUGGCGAUGAUAGGCUUACCUGAAGUCUUCGUAGCAUUCAUUUCUUUCCUUGUAUUCAACUGUUCCUUCCUCCUCAAGAAAUCUCAGAGCCAGCCUAUUCUCAAGAACUGGCCUUUCUUUGGGAUGCUUCCAGGAAUGCUCGCCCAUAUCCCUCGUAUUUUUGACUUCUCCGUCGAGGUUCUCGAGGCCACCAAUCUAAUUUUUUCUUUCAAAGGGCCAUGGCUUAGUGGUACCGACAUGCUAUUCACGGCCGACCCAUGGAAUAUUCAUCACAUACUAAGCUUAAACUUUGGCAAUUACCCUAAAGGACCUGAGGCUAAGAAGAUCUUCAAUGCUCUCGGAGAUGGAAUCUUAAGUGCUGAUAUGGAGCUGUGGGAGAAUCUGAGGAAGUCAAAUCACGCCAUCUUUCAUCAUCCAGAUUUCCUGAAGCUGUCAGUAAGUAGCAAUACAAUUAAGCUAAAGGAAAGUCUUAUUCUUUUUCUUGAUAAUGCUGCUCAUGAAAAAAUUAUCAUAGACUUACAAGAUGUGUUCAAGAGAUUCAUGUUUGAUACUUCUUCGAUUUUGAUGACUGGUUAUGACCCAAUGUCACUGUCCAUUGAGAUGCCAGAAGUUUUGUUCGAUGAAGCUGUGGAAACAGGUGAAGAAGCUAUCUAUUAUAGAUAUUUCAAACCGGUGAUCUUGUGGAGACUUCAAAGCUGGCUUGGUAUUGGACUUGAGGGGAAGAUGCGAACUUAUUUGGCGGCUUUCAAUCGUAGGUUUGCAAAGAUCAUAUCUUCUAGAAGAGAGGAGAUGAGCCGGGGGAAAAGAAAACAAUCAGUGGACGUGUUAACGUAUUAUAUGAAUGUGGAUACGACCAAAUAUAAGCUCUUGAAACCGAAUAAUGAUAAGUUUAUACGAGACGUUGUUUUCAGUCUAUUGUUGGCAGGAAGGGACACUACAAGCUCAGUUCUCACUUGGUUCUUUUGGCUUCUUUCUAAGCAUCCUCAAGUUUUGACCAAGAUCCGGAAAGAGAUCAACACUCAGUAUGAUCCUACAGAUCUAGAGAAGCUCGUGUAUCUACAUGCUGCAUUGUCCGAAACAAUGAGACUCUACCCACCACUUCCCUUUAACCAUAAGUCUCCUGCAAAGCCAGAUGUACUUCCAAGUGGGCACAAAGUUGAAGCAAAUUCAAAAAUUGUGAUAUGUAUUUAUGCAUUGGGAAGAAUGAGAUCUAUAUGGGGAGAAGACGCAUUGGAUUUUAAACCAGAGAGAUGGAUUUCAGACAGUGGUAAUCUAAGACAUGAACCUACAUACAAGUUCAUGGCUUUUAAUGCCGG